UACAGAGGGUGCGAGCGUUAAUCGGAAUUACUGGGCGUAAAGCGUGCGUAGACGGCUAUUUAAGUCGGGCGUGAAAGCCCCGGGCUCAACCUGGGAAUUGCGUUCGAUACUGGAUAGCUAGAGUUCGGCAGAGGGAAGCGGAAUUUCGGGUGUAGCGGUGAAAUGCGUAGAUAUCCGAAGGAACAUCAGUGGCGAAAGCGGCUUCCUGGACCAGAACUGACGAUCAGGCACGAAAGCGUGGGGAGCAAACAGG
RNAcentral lists this ribosomal RNA (253 nucleotides) under uncultured bacterium. Its description in RNAcentral is "partial 16S ribosomal RNA". It matches the Rfam family "Bacterial small subunit ribosomal RNA", at positions 524 to 776 of the family's 1533-position model. The record is from RNAcentral.